UCAUAAUCAAUAUGAAAAGAUUGACCUUCUUCUGGCGUGUUAAAUUCGGAUGGGUUUCCAUGGGUUAAUAUAUCUCCAAGUUCCUCGUCUUCUGGGCUAUCAACAUCUUCCUUUCCUUGAUUUCUUCGUACCGAUCUAUUCCAAUCUCUGAAACAUACUAAAACUUCCAAAGCAUUGCUUCCCAAUGAAUGGCGGGUGU
This 199-nucleotide long non-coding RNA is filed under the name Nicotiana benthamiana. RNAcentral's name for it is "long non-coding RNA (NBEN_LNC035427)". Lineage: Eukaryota; Viridiplantae; Streptophyta; Magnoliopsida; Solanales; Solanaceae. The record is from RNAcentral.